UGAAUUAGCGGCCGCCAAUUCGCCCUUUAGAGUUUGAUCAUGGCUCAGGAUGAACGCUAGCGGCAGGCCUAAUACAUGCGAAGUCGAACGAAUUACAGGACUUCGGUUCUGUAAUUAGUGGCGCACGGGUGCGUAACGCGUAUGCAACCUACCUUCUAUUGGGGGAUAGCCUUCCGAAAGGGAGAUUAAUACCGCAUAAGACCAUGACCUGGCAUCGGGUAGUGGUUAAAGCUGAGGCGAUAGAAGAUGGGCAUGUCUGUGCCAUUAGCUAGUUGGUAGUGUAACGGACUACCAAGGCUUCGAUGGCUAGGGGCUCUGAGAGGACGGUCCCCCACACUGGUACUGAGACACGGACCAGACUCCUACGGGAGGCAGCAGUAGGGAAAUAUUGGGCAAUGGCCGAGAGGCUGACCCAGCCAUGGCCGCGUGCAGGAUCGAAGGCCUUCUGGGUUGUAAACUGCUUUUAUCAGGGAAGAAAACGCUCCUGCGGGAGUAACUGACGGUACCUGAUGAAUAAGGCACCGGCUAACUCCGUGCCAGGCAGCCGCGGUAAUACGGAGGGUGCAAGCGUUGUCCGGAUUCACAAUUGGGUUUACAGGGUGCGGUAGGACGGACCGUUAAGUCAGCGGUGAAAUCCCAAG
Molecule: ribosomal RNA, 641 nt
Filed under: uncultured bacterium
Lineage: Bacteria
Description: bacterial SSU rRNA
Rfam family: Bacterial small subunit ribosomal RNA
Source: RNAcentral